GGUUAAGCGACUAAGCGUACACGGUGGAUGCCCUGGCAGUCAGAGGCGAUGAAGGACGUGCUAAUCUGCGAAAAGCGUCGGUAAGGUGAUAUGAACCGUUAUAGCCGGCGAUGUCCGAAUGGGGAAACCCAGUGUGAUUCGUCACACUAUCGUUAACUGAAUACAUAGGUUAACGAGGCGAACCGGGGGAACUGAAACAUCUAAGUACCCCGAGGAAAAGAAAUCAACCGAGAUUCCCCCAGUAGCGGCGAGCGAACGGGGAGCAGCCCAGAGUCUGAAUCAGCUUGUGUGUUAGUGGAACGGUCUGGAAAGUCCGACGGUACAGGGUGAUAGUCCCGUACACCAAAAUGCACAGGCUGUGAACUCGAAGAGUAGGGCGGGACACGUGGUAUCCUGUCUGAAUAUGGGGGGACCAUCCUCCAAGGCUAAAUACUCCUGACUGACCGAUAGUGAACCAGUACCGUGAGGGAAAGGCGAAAAGAACCCCGGCGAGGGGAGUGAAAAAGAACCUGAAACCGUGUACGUACAAGCAGUGGGAGCACCUUCGGGUGUGACUGCGUACCUUUUGUAUAAUGGGUCAGCGACUUAUAUUCUGUAGCAAGGUUAACCGUAUAGGGGAGCCGCAGGGAAACCGAGUCUUAACUGGGCGUUAAGUUGCAGGGUAUAGACCCGAAACCCGGUGAUCUAGCCAUGGGCAGGUUGAAGGUUGGGUAACACUAACUGGAGGACCGAACCGACUAAUGUUGAAAAAUUAGCGGAUGACUUGUGGCUGGGGGUGAAAGGCCAAUCAAACCGGGAGAUAGCUGGUUCUCCCCGAAAGCUAUUUAGGUAGCGCCUCGUGAAUUCAUCUUCGGGGGUAGAGCACUGUUUCGGCUAGGGGGUCAUCCCGACUUACCAACCCGAUGCAAACUACGAAUACCGAAGAAUGUUAUCACGGGAGACACACGGCGGGUGCUAACGUCCGUCGUGAAGAGGGAAACAACCCAGACCGCCAGCUAAGGUCCCAAAGUCAUGGUUAAGUGGGAAACGAUGUGGGAAGGCACAGACAGCCAGGAUGUUGGCUUAGAAGCAGCCAUCAUUUAAAGAAAGCGUAAUAGCUCACUGGUCGAGUCGGCCUGCGCGGAAGAUGUAACGGGGCUAAACCAUGCACCGAAGCUGCGGCAGCGACACUAUGUGUUGUUGGGUAGGGGAGCGUUCUGUAAGCCUGCGAAGGUGUGCUGUGAGGCAUGCUGGAGGUAUCAGAAGUGCGAAUGCUGACAUAAGUAACGAUAAAGCGGGUGAAAAGCCCGCUCGCCGGAAGACCAAGGGUUCCUGUCCAACGUUAAUCGAGGCAGGGUGAGUCGACCCCUAAGGCGAGGCCGAAAGGCGUAGUCGAUGGGAAACAGGUUAAUAUUCCUGUACUUGGUGUUACUGCGAAGGGGGGACGGAGAAGGCUAUGUUAGCCGGGCGACGGUUGUCCCGGUUUAAGCAUGUAGGCUGGUUGUCCAGGCAAAUCCGGAUAAUCAAGGCUGAGGUGUGAUGACGAGGCACUACGGUGCUGAAGUAACAAAUGCCCUGCUUCCAGGAAAAGCCUCUAAGCAUCAGGUAACAUCAAAUCGUACCCCAAACCGACACAGGUGGUCAGGUAGAGAAUACCAAGGCGCUUGAGAGAACUCGGGUGAAGGAACUAGGCAAAAUGGUGCCGUAACUUCGGGAGAAGGCACGCUGGUGUGUAGGUGAAGUCCCUGCGGAUGGAGCUGAGACCAGUCGAAGAUACCAGCUGGCUGCAACUGUUUAUUAAAAACACAGCACUGUGCAAACACGAAAGUGGACGUAUACGGUGUGACGCCUGCCCGGUGCCGGAAGGUUAAUUGAUGGGGUUAUCCGUAAGGAGAAGCUCUUGAUCGAAGCCCCGGUAAACGGCGGCCGUAACUAUAACGGUCCUAAGGUAGCGAAAUUCCUUGUCGGGUAAGUUCCGACCUGCACGAAUGGCGUAAUGAUGGCCAGGCUGUCUCCACCCGAGACUCAGUGAAAUUGAACUCGCUGUGAAGAUGCAGUGUACCCGCGGCAAGACGGAAAGACCCCGUGAACCUUUACUAUAGCUUGACACUGAACAUUGAGCCUUGAUGUGUAGGAUAGGUGGGAGGCUUUGAAGCGUGGACGCCAGUCUGCGUGGAGCCAACCUUGAAAUACCACCCUUUAAUGUUUGAUGUUCUAACGUUGGCCCCUUACCGGGGUUGCGGACAGUGUCUGGUGGGUAGUUUGACUGGGGCGGUCUCCUCCCAAAGCGUAACGGAGGAGCACGAAGGUUAGCUAAUCCUGGUCGGACAUCAGGAGGUUAGUGCAAUGGCAUAAGCUAGCUUGACUGCGAGCGUGACGGCGCGAGCAGGUGCGAAAGCAGGUCAUAGUGAUCCGGUGGUUCUGAAUGGAAGGGCCAUCGCUCAACGGAUAAAAGGUACUCCGGGGAUAACAGGCUGAUACCGCCCAAGAGUUCAUAUCGACGGCGGUGUUUGGCACCUCGAUGUCGGCUCAUCACAUCCUGGGGCUGAAGUAGGUCCCAAGGGUAUGGCUGUUCGCCAUUUAAAGUGGUACGCGAGCUGGGUUUAGAACGUCGUGAGACAGUUCGGUCCCUAUCUGCCGUGGGCGCUGGAGAAUUGAGGGGGGCUGCUCCUAGUACGAGAGGACCGGAGUGGACGCAUCACUGGUGUUCGGGUUGUCAUGCCAAUGGCACUGCCCGGUAGCUAAAUGCGGAAGAGAUAAGUGCUGAAAGCAUCUAAGCACGAAACUUGCCCCGAGAUGAGUUCUCCCUGAGACUUUAAGUCUCCUGAAGGAACGUUGAAGACGACGACGUUGAUAGGCCGGGUGUGUAAGCGCAGCGAUGCGUUGAGCUAACCGGUACUAAUGAACCGUGAGGCUUAACCUU
RNAcentral lists this ribosomal RNA (2902 nucleotides) under Klebsiella pneumoniae. Its description in RNAcentral is "23S ribosomal RNA". It matches the Rfam family "Bacterial large subunit ribosomal RNA". The record is from RNAcentral. Lineage: Bacteria; Pseudomonadati; Pseudomonadota; Gammaproteobacteria; Enterobacterales; Enterobacteriaceae.